ACAUUAAUUGUUGUAAAAUAUGACUUGUUCCUUCUCUAGUGACCUAAUAAAGGAAUAAAAUACAUUGCAUAUGAGAAGAGGUGAUGAUAAACUGGUGUAAGAACAAGUGACUGAGUUGCCGGGGACGGUAGUCACCCCACAACACUAGGAGGAGGUUGUACUGUUUAAUACACCAGUGUGUAUACCUGGUUCCAUAUACAUCUGACACCACUAACCUUGAUAAACUGUGUAUUAGUGUUGCAUGGAAUCUUGCCAGCUUCUUAAUGUCACAGCACAGAGCCGGGCCGGUGUAUGACAUACAACACGGUGUGGUGAUAUUCUGCAAGGCGCCCACUUACAAUUUCACUUAAUUUUGGGCCCAAAACACUCGUGUGCAACCUGCAGCAAAAUAAGCAAGGGUACACUGUUGAGUUUCAAUGUGACCCAAAGUGAACCAGCGAGGGUAUCGGGACAGCACCAGUGAAGACACAUUACCAUUGACUGGAUCAUCUACAUCAUCAUGAUCUUCUAGGAUUGGUAAUCUGAAAAGCUUUUUCUUGAGCAUAGAGUCCAGGAGGCAUAGCACGUUGCUGACCAAGACCAAUUAGUGCAGCCUCCAAGGCUAAGGUAAGAUAGGAUUCCCAGGGAUCGCUGGAGCCUGGGAUGGGAACAUGACGAUACCUAAGUG
This is a long non-coding RNA of Cherax quadricarinatus, 667 nucleotides long. RefSeq lists it as uncharacterized. The record is from RefSeq and is a predicted model, not a curated record. Lineage: Eukaryota; Metazoa; Arthropoda; Malacostraca; Decapoda; Parastacidae.